This 483-nucleotide ribosomal RNA is filed under the name uncultured bacterium. RNAcentral describes it as "partial 16S ribosomal RNA". It matches the Rfam family "Bacterial small subunit ribosomal RNA", at positions 28 to 507 of the family's 1533-position model. The record is from RNAcentral.
GACGAACGCUGGCGGCGUGCUUAACACAUGCAAGUCGAACGAUGAAGCGGGUGCUUGCACUCGUGGAUUAGUGGCGAACGGGCGAGUAACACGUGAGUAACCUGUCCUUUUCUUUGGGAUAACGGCUGGAAACGGCUGCUAAUACUGGAUAUUCAGGCUGCAUCGCAUGGUGUGGUUUGGAAAGGUUUUUUCUGGGAUUGGGUGGGCUCGCGGCCUAUCAGCUUGUUGGUGGGGUGAUGGCUUACCAAGGCUUUGACGGGUAGCCGGCCUGAGAGGGUGGGCGGUCGCACUGGGACUGAGAUACGGCCCAGACUACUACGCGAGGCAGAAGUGGGGAAUAUUGCACAAUGGACGAAAGUUUGAUGCCGCGACGCCGCGUGGAGGGUGUAGGCCUUCGGGUUGUGAACUCCUUUUUCUCGCGAAAAAGGCACAGUUUUGGCUGUGUUGAUGGUAGUGGGGGAAGAAGCGCCGGCUAACUACGUG